CAGCCGCCACGGUAAUACAGAGGGUGCGAGCGUUAAUCGGAUUUACUGGGCGUAAAGCGUGCGUAGGCGGCUUUUUAAGUCGGAUGUGAAAUCCCUGAGCUUAACUUAGGAAUUGCAUUCGAUACUGGGAAGCUAGAGUAUGGGAGAGGAUGGUAGAAUUCCAGGUGUAGCGGUGAAAUGCGUAGAGAUCUGGAGGAAUACCGAUGGCGAAGGCAGCCAUCUGGCCUAAUACUGACGCUGAGGUACGAAAGCAUGGGGAGCAAACAGGAUUAGAUACCCGCGUAGUCCUGUCUCUUAUACA
This 301-nucleotide ribosomal RNA is filed under the name uncultured bacterium. RNAcentral's name for it is "partial 16S ribosomal RNA". It matches the Rfam family "Bacterial small subunit ribosomal RNA", at positions 509 to 809 of the family's 1533-position model. The record is from RNAcentral.